Long non-coding RNA from Tympanuchus pallidicinctus (lesser prairie-chicken), 389 nucleotides. RefSeq lists it as uncharacterized. Lineage: Eukaryota; Metazoa; Chordata; Aves; Galliformes; Phasianidae. The record is from RefSeq and is a predicted model, not a curated record. The transcript is spliced from 3 exons.
AAGCAGUGAUUUGCAAAAGAGUCUUUGAGCAGUUCAGCUGCUGAUGAGAACACUGGCAUCUAGUGCCUGGGGAUGGCUGUAUGCAAGGCUGUGAGAGCCAAUUUAGUGAGUUGUGGUCUGAAGAAAUUGUGUUCCUCUGAUGCCUUUAUGCUAAAUAUUGUGUGGCUGUGCUCAGGAAGCCCUCCAUGAGGAAAUACUGUACCAGAGGUGUAUUCCUGGAAAAAUGAGUCCCCCUGGGAAAGACAUUCCUCAGCAGCCCAUUCUCUUCAUCUCCAGCCCUUCUUCAGACACUGAAAGGUUGCUCUCAGGUCUCCCCAUGGCCUUCUAUUCUCCAAGCUGAACAGCCCCAGCUCUCAGCCUAUCCUCAUAGUGUGGGUGUUCAAUCCCUU